RNAcentral lists this ribosomal RNA (465 nucleotides) under uncultured bacterium. RNAcentral's name for it is "partial 16S ribosomal RNA". It matches the Rfam family "Bacterial small subunit ribosomal RNA", at positions 28 to 507 of the family's 1533-position model. The record is from RNAcentral.
GACGAACGCUGGCGGCGUGCUUAACACACGCAAGUCGAACGGAAAGGCCCCUUUGGGGGUACUCGAGUGGCGAACGGGUGAGUAACACGUGAGUAACCUGCCCUUGACUUCGGGAUAACUUCAGGAAACUGGGGCUAAUACCGGAUAGGAAUCCUUGCUGCAUGGUGGGGGUUGGAAAGCUUCGGCGGUUUUGGAUGGACUCGCGGCGUAUCAGCUUGUUGGUGGGGUAGUGGCUUACCAAGGCUUUGACGGGUAGCCGGCCUGAGAGGGUGACCGGCCACACUGGGACUGAGAUACGGCCCAGACUCCUACGGGAGGAAGAAGUGGGGAAUCUUGAACAAUGGGUGCAAGGCUGAUGCAGAAAGGCCGCGUGCGGGAUGACGGCUUUGGGGUUGUAGAACGCCUUCAGGAGGGGAGAAGCUUGUGGUGACGGUACCUACAGAAGAAGCACCGGCUAACUACGUG